UAAUACGUAGGUGGCAAGCGUUGUCCGGAUUUAUUGGGUUUAAAGGGUGCGUAGGCGGUCUUUUAAGUCAGUGCUGAAAUAUCCCGGCUUAACCGGGAGGGUGGCAUUGAUACUGAAGGACUUGAGUAAAGUUGAGGUUGGCGGAAUUGACGGUGUAGCGGUGAAAUGCUUAGAUAUCGUCAAGAACACCGAUAGUGCAGACAGCUAACUAAGCUUUAACUGACGCUGAGGCACGAAAGUGUGGGGAUCAAACAGG
Molecule: ribosomal RNA, 256 nt
Filed under: uncultured prokaryote
Description: partial 16S ribosomal RNA
Rfam family: Bacterial small subunit ribosomal RNA
Source: RNAcentral